RNAcentral lists this ribosomal RNA (257 nucleotides) under uncultured bacterium. RNAcentral describes it as "partial 16S ribosomal RNA". It matches the Rfam family "Bacterial small subunit ribosomal RNA", at positions 1245 to 1500 of the family's 1533-position model. The record is from RNAcentral.
AGAAGCGAAGCCGCGAGGCAGAGCAAAUCUGAAAAAAGACAUCCCUAGUUCAGAUUGUAGGCUGCAACUCGCCUACAUGAAGCUGGAAUCGCUAGUAAUCGCGGAUCAGAAUGCCGCGGUGAAUACGUUCCCGGGUCUUGUACACACCGCCCGUCACACCAUGGGAGUCGGUAACGCCCGAAGUCAGUGACCCAACCGAGAGGAGGGAGCUGCCGAAGGCGGGACUGGUAACUGGGGUGAAGUCGUAACAAGGUAGC